UGGAAGCCAAACCACAAGCGGAGCGGAAGCC
This 31-nucleotide non-coding RNA is filed under the name Homo sapiens (human). The record is from RNAcentral. Lineage: Eukaryota; Metazoa; Chordata; Mammalia; Primates; Hominidae.